Molecule: non-coding RNA, 1812 nt
Organism: Picea glauca (white spruce)
Lineage: Eukaryota; Viridiplantae; Streptophyta; Pinopsida; Pinales; Pinaceae
Source: Rfam
UACCUGGUUGAUCCUGCCAGUAUUCAUAUGAUUGUCUCAAAGAUUAGUCCAUGUAUGUCUAAGUAUGAACUAAUUCAGACUGUGAAACUGUGGAUGGCUCAUUAAAUCAAUUAUAGUUUCUUUGAUAGUACCCUACUACUCAGAUAACCAUAGUAAUUCUAGAUCUAAUACGUGCACCAAGUCCCAACUCUUUGUAAGGGAUGCAUUUAUUAGAUAAAAGGUCGACGCGGGCUUUCCCUCUUCUCCGAUGAAUCAUGAUAACUCAAUGGAUUGCACAACCCUUGUGUUGGUGAUGCUUCAUUCAAAUUUAUGCCCUAUCAACUUUCGAUGGUAGGAUAGAGGCCUACCAUGGUGGUGAUGGGUGAUGGAGAAUUAGGGUUUGAUUCCGGAGAGGGAGCCUGAGAAACGAAUAACACAUCCAAGGAAGGUAGUAGGUGUGAAAAUUACCCAAUCCUGACAUGGGGGUGUAGUGACAAUAAAUAACAAUACUGGGCUCAUCGAGUCUGGUAAUUGGAAUGAGGACAAUAUAAAUUCCUUAAUGAGGAUCCAUUGGAGGGAAAUUCUGGUGCCAACAGCCAUGGUAAUUCUAUCUCCAAUAUCAUAUAUUUAAUUUGUUGCAGUUAAAAAGAUUGUAGUUGGACCUUGGGUUGUAAAGGUUGGUCCACCAACUCGGUGUGCACCUGCCCUUUCGUCCCUUUUGCCGGAAGCAUGCUCCUAGCCUUAAUUGGCUGGGUCAUGGUUAUGGCAUUGUUACCUUGAAAAAUUAGAGUGAUCUAAGCAAUCUUAUGCUCUGAAUACAUUAGCAUGGAAUAACAUGAUAGGAGUCUGGUCGUAUUGUGUUGGCCUUCAGGACUAGAGUAAUGAUUAAUAGGGACUAUCGGGGGCAUUCAUAUUUCAUUGUCAGAGGUGAAAUUCUUGUAUUUAUGAAAGAUGAACCACUAUGAAAGAAUUUUCCAAGGAUUUUUUCAUUAAUCAAGAAUGAAAGUUGGGGGCUCGAAGACGAUCAGAUACCAUCCUAUUCUCAACCAUAAAUGAUGUCGACCAGAGAUCGAUAGAUGUUUCUCUAAGGACUCCACCAACACCUUCUGAGAAAUCAGAGUGUUUGGGUUCCAGGGGGAGUAUGGUCACAAGGCUGAAACUUAAAGGAAUUGAUGGAAGGGAACCACCAGGAGUGGAGCUUGUGGCUUAAUUUGACUCAACACGGGAAAACUUACCAGGUCCAUACAUAGUAAGGAUUGACAGAUUGAGAGCUCUUUCUUGAUUCUAUGGGUGGUGGUGCAUGAUCGUUCUUAGUUGGUGGAGCGAUUAGUCUAGUUAAUUUCGAUAAUGAAUAAGACCUCAACCUGCUAACUAGCUACGUGGAGGUUCCCCUUCACAGCCAGCUUCUUAGAGGUACUAUGGCCAUUUAUCCCAUGGAAGUUUGAGGCAAUAACAGGUCUGUGAUGCCCUUAUAUGUUCUGGGCCGCACGUGCACUACACUGAUGUAGUCAAUGAUUUUUUCUCCCUAGUUUGAGAGGAUUGGGAAAUAUUCUCAAAUUGCAUUAUGAUGGGGAUAGACCAUUGCAAUUAUUGGUCUUCAAUGAGGAAUUCCUAGUAAGCGGGUUUCAUCAGCUCGUGUUGACUACGUCCUUGCCCUUUGUACACACUACUCGUCACUCCUACCAAUUGAAUGAUACAGUGAAGUGUUCAGAUCGCAUCAACGAGGGUGGUUCACCACUGACGAUGUCAUGAGAAGUUCACUAAACCUUAUCAUUUAGAGGAAGGAGAAGUCGUAACAAGGUUACCAUAGGUGAACCUACGAUAGGAUCAUUG